AUUGAACGCUGGCGGCAGGCCUAACACAUGCAAGUCGAGCGAGCGGCGGACGGGUGCGUAAUGUAUGGGGAUCUGCCCGAUCGAGGGGGAUAACUACUGGAAACGGUAGCUAAUACCGCAUACCAUCAGAUGUGCCCAUAUGGGAUUAGCUUGUAGGUGAUGUAACGGCUCACCUAGGCGACGAGCCCUAGCUGGUCUGAGAGGAUGAUCAGCCACACGGGGACGGAGACACGGCCCAGACUCCGACGGGAGGCAGCAGUGGGGAAUAUUGCACAAUGGGCGCAAGCCUGAUGCAGCCAUGCCGCGUGUAUGAAGAAGGCCUUCGGGUUGUAAAGUACUUUCAGUCGGGAGGCGUUACCGACAGAAGAAGCACCGGCUAACUCCGUGCCAGCAGCCGCGGUAAUUC
This 406-nucleotide ribosomal RNA is filed under the name uncultured bacterium. RNAcentral describes it as "partial 16S ribosomal RNA". It matches the Rfam family "Bacterial small subunit ribosomal RNA", at positions 30 to 526 of the family's 1533-position model. The record is from RNAcentral.